AGCCCAGACUCCUACGGGAGGCAGCAGUGGGGAAUAUUGCACAAUGGGGGGAACCCUGAUGCAGCGACGCCGCGUGGGUGAAGGAGCACCUCGGUGCGUAAAGCCCUAUCGGCAGGGAAGAAACAGACGGUACCUGACUAAGAAGCACCGACUAAAUACGUGCCAGCAGCCGCGGGAAUACGUAUGGUGCGAGCGUUGUCCGGAUUUACUGGGCGUGAAGGGGGCGCAGGCGGCGCGCCAAGCCCGAUGUGAAAGCCCGGGGCUCAACCCCGGGACUGCAUUGGGAACUGGCGUGCUGGAGUGCCGGAGGGGCAGGCGGAAUUCCUGGUGUAGCGGUGAAAUGCGUAGAUAUUAGGAGGAACACCAGUGGCGAAGGCGGCUUACUGGACAGUAACUGACGUUGAGGCUCGAAAGCGUGGGGAGCAAACAGGAUUAGAUACCCCCGUA
This 447-nucleotide ribosomal RNA is filed under the name uncultured bacterium. Its description in RNAcentral is "bacterial SSU rRNA". It matches the Rfam family "Bacterial small subunit ribosomal RNA", at positions 328 to 792 of the family's 1533-position model. The record is from RNAcentral.